This is a long non-coding RNA of Fukomys damarensis (Damara mole-rat), 3115 nucleotides long. Lineage: Eukaryota; Metazoa; Chordata; Mammalia; Rodentia; Bathyergidae. The record is from Ensembl.
AUUUUUCUUAAUCAUUAUAUUAUUUGUAUUUCAAUUCUUAUUGCAUACAGAUUCUGUCAAAAAUGAUUAUACACUUUAUCUGCAGUAACUCUGUGAAAUGAUUUAAUGAGUCUGUGGCUGUACAUGCCUUGCUCUGUGAAGCAGAGACAUCUAUUUGUCACCUCUUCCUUCCACAUGUGUGCUCUCUCACCGUAGAUUACCUCUCUGCUAGAAAUGGCCCCCUCCAACCUGCUACCUGGGAACUCCUUCCCCUUCCUGCAGAAAUGUCUGCUCUACAGGGCUCCGAGAAUGGAACAGAGUGAUGAUGUGUGCAUCGGCCCAGAGCAGCUACGGCACUCAUUCUGGAAGGCUGAGGUCCAUGGUGCGAGCCUGGAAGACACGCUCCUAGCAUCGCAGGAAAUGCCAGGCACAUUUGUCAUCUUCUGGGCUGUUGUGCGCCAUCACUGUCAAGUCCUGUCCACAGCUGACCUCAGGGCCUCGGGGAACACUUCGUUGUGUUUUCCACGCAGAAUGAACAGGACGGUUGGGUACAGUCCUUUUCCACCUCAAAAAAGCAGUGUCCGGAGAUGAGUGUUCCAGAAUUACUCAUUGAAAUUUAGCUUUCAACUGUGUUCCAGAGAAUGGGUCUCUUGAGGAUUGAAGAUCAGGAGAAUGCCACCAAUCUAAAUGGGCAACUGAACCCAAGGGUUAGCCAAAGGCCUGAGCUGCAUAUGCCCCUACGUGGCUGAAAACACUGUGAUAGCUUUGUUUCUUAACUACACAGCACUUUAACAAGCGACAGCCAAGGUGGGUUGUUACUGAUCAUAUUUAUGAGAAACAUUUAACUAAUGAGAUCAGACUUCCUCAACUCUUCUGGAAAAUAACUCCAACCUAGUUUGCCUGUCCUCUAUAUUUUGGUUUAUUACAUGCAGCUAAAAAUGUUUAACAAAUGAGAAAAGAAAAUGGAGCGGGCCAUAAAAUUAAGAGAGAUGAAUGGAUAUCAUUGGAAGGAGAUAUAGUAACUUAGAAAAUAAAAUAUUUGAAAUAGUGGGGCCAGGAGGUUUACCCACCUCUCUCUGGACUAACGACAUUCAGAAAACUUUUCAGAUAACAUCCUGUUCUGUCUUUCAGUUGUGGUAUUUACUACUAUUGUGUGUGCAUUACAUAUUUUACUGUUUCAUUUUCUUAAGGUUUUAUUUUUGUCAAUUACACAUUCCCAAUACUAUGUGAAAUAGUUCCAGUAGUUUCAGGUUUUGUUUUAGUAUAUACUAGUGUUUUACUAGGAAAGGGCCAACUUUACUAUUAUUUUAAAAAGCUUUUCCCCAGAUUCACCUCUAUUGUCCUGGUUUUAAUUUUCCAGAAAUAAACCUUAGCAUCUUUCAGAUAUUAGUUUUGCAUUUUGGCCCCAUAUCUUUGUCAAAUACACAUACUCUUGAUUUUUAAAACAAUUAAUUACCUGCUCUGUUUCAAGAUGAGUAAAUUUAAAAAUCAAGAGGCUAGAUUUGGAUGACUACGUAUAUUUUUUUCAGCUUGCUAUAAUAGUAAUAUGUAGCAAAGAACCCCAAGACAUCGGUCAUUAUGAAAAACAACCAGUGUUUCUUUCUCAGUUACAGGUUCUCAGGUUGGCUUGCACUGACGGCUGGCUUCCGGGUGUGAGGUUGGGGUCCGCUCAACUGCCUGGGCCACUCUGGGGCAGUGGUACCCAGGGGGCGCUCUUGUCGUAAGGAAGUAGAUGUGAGUGGCCAAGAUGAGCUCCAUGGCUCUGCACAGGAGGCAGCGGGCAGAGCUCCUCAAGUGCUCAGGUCCGCACUGCAGGGCCCAGCACAGGCAGAGUGCUUGUUGAACACUAUGGUAAUCCACCAACAGGUCUCCAUCCUUGGCAAAACACAAGGGUUGACCUUGCCACACCCUCUUCCGACCCCUCCCACUAUAACAGUGUAUGUGUCCCAGUUUUGGUGAGCUCGGUAUUACUCACAUUUUGCUGACUAUUUCAGUGUGCCCCUGGCUGUGCCAUCUGGUCUACUUUGAGUCCACUUCAAACGGGAUUAAAAGCUGCUUUGAUAAAAAGUACCAAUUGUUCUUUUGGGCUUGCAGAUAACCAAUUGGUAACUAAAAGCAAAAUAAAUUUUGGGAGGCUGAGGCAGGGGGAUUACCAUGAGUUCAAGGCUAGCCCAGGCUACAUAGUGAGUUCAUUUUGUACCUAUUUUUUUAAUUUCUUAAACUUUGGGUGCAGUUCCUGGUUAGUUCUCUGCGCAUAGGCUUGCUGAUCACUUAAGGAAUGUCUGUCUAAAAACUAACUGCGUUAGUAGCCCUAAAUUGACUUAUCCUCUCUUAAUCCUUUCAAGAUUGAGGACACCAAGACAAGAAGAGCUAAGAUAUUCUCAAGAUUCGCGGGGACUUUCAAAUGCUAGCCUUUACAGGAUCUUGAGCCUGUCCUUCUGGGGUGGUGCCUAGAAGUCUCUAGUUACUGCCACAAACCUGCAGUCACCUUGGUUUCCAGUAGGACCACUGCAGACAGAUCACCCCGAGGUGGGAUCACCCCCAGUAGGCAGAAGCAAACAUCUCAAAGGAGCAGCUUUCUACCUCCGUGGUGAGGACUGCUCCAGGGCCAGCUGCAGAAGCAGCACCGAGAUCAUGACCAGCUGGACCCUCACUGGCUGCCGCGUCCCGUAGAAGCUGAUGUCCCUUUCUGCUCUUCUCACGCUGGAGUCCCUUCCCCAUUUCCUCUCCUCGUGAAGAACUCUAGCUCUGUUCUGCUCCCUCAGGUGUUGGGAACAGCGGAGCACGUUUUCAGGGUAACUGAGCUGCAGAAGAGGAGUGAGACUGGGUAAAACCUCGCAAGUCUCGAUGUUCUUACUGAGAUUUAGCUAAGUGAGUGCUCUCUAGGAUGUUACCAGGCUUUGGCAGCUUUCAGAAUUCUGAAAAAGUUGAUCCUGGUAUUCUUUUUACUGCUUUUAAUGCGCUGUAGACUUUUGGAAGUUCUUUUUCCUCCAAGUCAUUAUUUCUCCCCAAAUCCCCAAGUUUUUUAGUUGGUACAUUUUAUCUUAUAAUUUCCACCCCUUGGUGAUUUUUUGAUAUCUGAUGAUGCUUAAGAAUUAUAUACUACAUUUUGAUAUGAAAAUCUGAGUCCAUGGGA